AGGAGUAGUCCGGCACUACGAGGAUUCUAUGGAGACUGUAAGUGGGGGUGGGUGUACUGCUAACUGCGGACGAGUGGCGGUGCUCAGUAAAAGCCAAAACAUCAUUUCAGGCGACAAGCAACCCUUCAAAAGUGUGGGAACUAGCAGGCAAAGCAGCCACUUAAGAAGACUUGCUUCAGAAUAAAUUUUGUUCUUCGUUGGAAUUUCUCUUAUUAUUAAUUCAAUCUCUUCAACUAUGGAAGACGACCUUCUUCUAGAUUCCUACAUCUUCUAUGAAUACCAAGUUUCUACUACUAUCAUCUAGUUCCAGUUUUACUUCCAAGUUUAUACAUCCAUAUAUAAACUGUUUUACCUUCGCUCAAAAGAAGAAGGAAGAUAUUAUAAUAACUGUCACUCAUAUAUCUGAUACCGUUACAUGAUUGGUUAAUAUUAUGGUAGCAUGUUAGGC
This is a long non-coding RNA of Hyla sarda, 448 nucleotides long. RefSeq lists it as uncharacterized. Lineage: Eukaryota; Metazoa; Chordata; Amphibia; Anura; Hylidae. The record is from RefSeq and is a predicted model, not a curated record. The transcript has 3 exons.